RNAcentral lists this ribosomal RNA (311 nucleotides) under uncultured eukaryote. Its description in RNAcentral is "partial 18S ribosomal RNA". It matches the Rfam family "Eukaryotic small subunit ribosomal RNA", at positions 1470 to 1796 of the family's 1831-position model. The record is from RNAcentral.
CCCUUAGAUGUCCUGGGCCGCACGCGUGCUACACUGAUGCAUACAGCGAGUACUCCCAGCUCCGAGAGGCUGCUGGUAAUCAGCAAUAUGCAUCGUGAUGGGGAUAGAUCUUUGGAAUUAUGGAUCUUGAACGAGGAAUUCCUAGUAAUCGCAGGUCAUCACCCUGCGUUGACUAAGUCCCUGCCCUUUGUACACACCGCCCGUCGCUCCUACCGAUUUCGAGUGAUCCGGUGAAUCAUUCGGACCGCGGCCCCUAGGCAUGCGGAAAGUCUAGUAAACCAUAUCACUUAGAGGAAGGAGAAGUCGUAACA